UGUCUCUUCAGAGGUGUGACCUCACAUUGC
Molecule: non-coding RNA, 30 nt
Filed under: Mus musculus (house mouse)
Lineage: Eukaryota; Metazoa; Chordata; Mammalia; Rodentia; Muridae
Source: RNAcentral